CUGUGCUAAACGGAGGGUUAGCGGUCCUCUUUUCCUGAAAACCGCUAUAUGCAGGGUUGAAUUCCGUUGAGCGGGUCAUUAUGAACGCUAAAUAAUAUAGAAAGUAUGUUGACUUUUAAAGCUUUAUACAAUAACAUUGCUUCUAAACCCCGCCAGAUCUGGAAAGAAGCAACGGUAGGAAGUGGUUUAUGUGAUAUAAAUAACUUUAGAAUAGUAUCUUUUUUUAUUGUAGAUCGUAAACAAAUGAUUCAAUCAACGGUGCACAG
RNAcentral lists this signal recognition particle RNA (266 nucleotides) under Fidelibacterota bacterium. RNAcentral describes it as "signal recognition particle sRNA large type". It matches the Rfam family "Bacterial large signal recognition particle RNA". Rfam says of the family: The signal recognition particle (SRP) is a universally conserved ribonucleoprotein involved in the co-translational targeting of proteins to membranes. Archaeal SRP consists of a 7S RNA and homologues of the eukaryotic SRP19 and SRP54 proteins. In most bacteria, the SRP consists of a 4.5S RNA and the Ffh protein (a homologue of the eukaryotic SRP54 protein). The record is from RNAcentral. Lineage: Bacteria; Pseudomonadati; Fidelibacterota.